AGUAGUUCACUUGUGCCAGCAAGACGCCAUUGAUUUGCUUAUAUCCAGUCGUGCUAUUAAGUUACUGAUGAAGCAAGAUCUCAGUCUCCUUUUAGUGCCACUGCGGAGCUCACGUGAUGACGAUGGUCUUAUCGCGUAUCACGAAGAUUGAUGAUAUCAUUUAUUGGAAUUUUGAUGCGUUACCUGGUCUGGCUGGUUUCCGUGCCUCAUUGCAGUAAGUUCUUCUAAUGUUCUCCUCCUAUAAAACAUCUGUUCUUCUAGUGUUCCUUGAUUACUUCUAUCUAUACUGCCCAUCUUUGGUAAGGUUUCUUCGGCUGAGUUCCUGCACAUGUAUGAAGUAAAUAAG
This is a long non-coding RNA of Triticum dicoccoides, 346 nucleotides long. RefSeq lists it as uncharacterized. The record is from RefSeq and is a predicted model, not a curated record. The transcript is spliced from 3 exons. NCBI's taxonomy places the organism in Eukaryota, Viridiplantae, Streptophyta, Magnoliopsida, Poales, Poaceae.